This 631-nucleotide ribosomal RNA is filed under the name uncultured Pseudonocardia sp. RNAcentral's name for it is "bacterial SSU rRNA". It matches the Rfam family "Bacterial small subunit ribosomal RNA", at positions 28 to 674 of the family's 1533-position model. The record is from RNAcentral. Lineage: Bacteria; Bacillati; Actinomycetota; Actinomycetes; Pseudonocardiales; Pseudonocardiaceae.
GACGAACGCUGGCGGCGCGCUUAACACAUGCAAGUCGAGCGGUAAGGCCUUUCGGGGUACACGAGCGGCGAACGGGUGAGUAACACGUGGGUGACCUGCCCUCAGCUCUGGGAUAAGCCCGGGAGACUGGGUCUAAUACUGGAUAUGACCUCAUGCUGCAUGGUGUGGGGUGGAAAGCCUUGUGCGGCUGGGGAUGGGCCCGCGGCCUAUCAGCUUGUUGGUGGGGUGAUGGCCUACCAAGGCGACGACGGGUAGCCGGCCUGAGAGGGCGACCGGCCACACUGGGACUGAGACACGGCCCAGACUCCUACGGGAGGCAGCAGUGGGGAAUCUUGCGCAAUGGGCGAAAGCCUGACGCAGCGACGCCGCGUGAGGGAUGACGGCCUUCGGGUUGUAAACCUCUUUCAGCCCUGACGAAGCGAGAGUGACGGUAGGGGCAGAAGAAGCACCGGCCAACUACGUGCCAGCAGCCGCGGUAAUACGUAGGGUGCAAGCGUUGUCCGGAAUUAUUGGGCGUAAAGAGCUCGUAGGCGGUCUGUCGCGUCGGCCGUGAAAACCUGUGGCUUAACUAUGGGCUUGCGGUCGAUACGGGCAUCACUGGAGUUCGGCAGGGGAGACUGGAAUUCCUGGU